AAGUUUUAAAAUUAGGGUUUUAGCGUUCUAUAUCCAACUCCGCCUUGAGGUCCUAGAGAGAAGUCGCAGCCUCGAGAUCAAACAGGAAGCAAAAUGCCGAAGCAAAUCCACGAGAUUAAGGAUUUCCUUCUGACUGCAAGAAGGAAGGAUGCACGCUCUGUCAAAAUCAAGAGGAGCAAAGAUGCUGUCAAGUUUAAGGUUCGAUGCUCCAAGUACCUUUACACUCUUUGCGUGUUUGAUUCGGAGAAGGCCGACAAGUUGAAGCAAUCCCUUCCUCCAGGUUUGAGCGUGCAAAU
Non-coding RNA from Prunus avium (sweet cherry), 296 nucleotides. Lineage: Eukaryota; Viridiplantae; Streptophyta; Magnoliopsida; Rosales; Rosaceae. The record is from RefSeq and is a predicted model, not a curated record.